Molecule: ribosomal RNA, 422 nt
Filed under: uncultured bacterium
Lineage: Bacteria
Description: bacterial SSU rRNA
Rfam family: Bacterial small subunit ribosomal RNA
Source: RNAcentral
AACGAACGCUGGCGGCAGGCCUCAAACAUGCAAGUCUAGGGGGUGUAGCAAUACAUCACCGGCGGACGGGUGCGUAACACGUGGGAAUAUACCUUUCGGUACGGAACAACUGCGGGAAACUGCAGCUAAUACCGUAUACGUCCUAGCGGAGAAAGAUUUAUCGCCGAAGGAUUAGCCCGCGUUCGAUUAGCUUGUUGGUGAGGUAAUGGCUCACCAAGGCGACGAUCGAUAGCUGUUCUGAGAGGAAGAUCAGCCACACUGGGACUGAGACACGGCCCAGACUCCUAUGGGAGGCAGCAGUUGGGAAUCUUGGACAAUGGGGGAAACCCUGAUCCAGCCAUGCCGCGUGAGUGAUGAAGGCCUUUCGGGUUGUAAAACUCUUUCGACGGGACGAUAAUGACGGUACCCGUAGAAGAAGCUCC